RNAcentral lists this unclassified non-coding RNA (382 nucleotides) under Staphylococcus pseudintermedius. Its description in RNAcentral is "16S-23S ribosomal RNA intergenic spacer". Lineage: Bacteria; Bacillati; Bacillota; Bacilli; Caryophanales; Staphylococcaceae. The record is from RNAcentral.
AAGGAUAAUAUACGGAAUAUCACCAUCAGGUGAUAAGCGAAUUAACGUGACAUAUUGUAUUCAGUUUUGAAUGCUCAUUCAUUUGAGGRUUCAGAAUGAAUUGUACAUUGAAAACUAGAUAAGUAAGUAUAGAUUUUACCAAGCAAAACCGAGUGACAAGCGUUUAAAAGCUUGAAACAAAAAAUUAUCGCUAGUCGUCAAAUGACGACUCACAUAAUUAAUAACUGGUGAUGGUAAACAUCGUAUUUUUGAUUGUACAAACGUUUAUGAAAACGCUUGUCAGUCAACGCAUUUCUUGAUGAGCGCAGUGAAGUUUACUUCUCGUAAAUGAACAAGCGAAGAAAGAAAUAAGAUAGAAUGCGAGCGUUUAUCAUAACGUUUA